CAGGUCUUGACAUCCCAUUGACCGGUCCGUAACGGGACCUUCCCUUCGGGGCAAUGGAGACAGGUGGUGCAUGGUUGUCGUCAGCUCGUGUCGUGAGAUGUUGGGUUAAGUCCCGCAACGAGCGCAACCCUUAUCCUUAGUAGCCAGCACGUAAUGGUGGGCACUCUAGGGAGACUGCCAGGGAUAACCUGGAGGAAGGCGGGGAUGACGUCAAAUCAUCAUGCCCCUUAUGAUCUGGGCUACACACGUGCUACAAUGGUGACUACAAAGGGACGCAACCUCGCGAGAGCAAGCAAAUCCCAGAAAGGUCAUCCCAGUUCGGAUUGUAGUCUGCAACUCGACUACAUGAAGCUGGAAUCGCUAGUAAUCGCGAAUCAGAAUGUCGCGGUGAAUACGUUCC
Molecule: ribosomal RNA, 400 nt
Filed under: uncultured bacterium
Lineage: Bacteria
Description: bacterial SSU rRNA
Rfam family: Bacterial small subunit ribosomal RNA
Source: RNAcentral